RNAcentral lists this ribosomal RNA (253 nucleotides) under uncultured bacterium. Its description in RNAcentral is "partial 16S ribosomal RNA". It matches the Rfam family "Bacterial small subunit ribosomal RNA", at positions 524 to 776 of the family's 1533-position model. The record is from RNAcentral.
UACGUAGGGGGCAAGCGUUGUCCGGAAUCAUUGGGCGUAAAGAGCGUGUAGGCGGCUUGGCAAGUCUCGCGUGAAAUCUUGCGGCUUAACCGCAAGCGGUCGUGAGAAACUGCCUGGCUAGAAUCCGGAAGAGGAGAGCGGAAUUCCUGGUGUAGCGGUGGAAUGCGCAGAUAUCAGGAGGAACACCAGUAGCGAAGGCGGCACUCUGGGCCGGUACUGACACUGAGGAGCGAAAGCGUGGGGAGCGAACAGG